This 463-nucleotide ribosomal RNA is filed under the name uncultured bacterium. RNAcentral's name for it is "partial 16S ribosomal RNA". It matches the Rfam family "Bacterial small subunit ribosomal RNA", at positions 28 to 507 of the family's 1533-position model. The record is from RNAcentral.
GACGAACGCUGGCGGCGUGCUUAACACAUGCAAGUCGAGCGGAAAGACCACGACGGUGGUACUCUAGCGGUGGAGGGGGGAGUAAGACGUAAGUAAUCUGCACCUCACUUUGGGAUAGCGACAGGAAACGGUGACUAAUACCGAAAAUGACCAUAAGUCGCAAGGGGUGUGGUGGAAAGUUGUUCGGUGAGGGAUGGUCUCGCGGCGUAUCAGCUUGAUGGUGAGGUAAUGGCGGACAAGGGCUUCGACGGGUAGGCGGCAUGAGAGGGUGAACGGUCACCCUGGUCCUGCGACACGGACCAGAAUCCUACGGGAGGCAGCAGUGGGGAAUCUUGGACAAUGGGCGGACGUCUGAUAUAGCAACGUUGCGUGCGUGAUGACGGCUUUCGGGUUGUAAACCUCUUUCUGUACCGACGAAGCGGUAUUGACGGUACCUACAGAAGAAGCACCGGCCAACUACGUG